GACGAACCGUGCGAACGUUGUUCGGAAUCACUGGGCUUAAAGGGCGCGUAGGCGGACCAGAAAGUCGGGGGUGAAAUCUUUCAGCCCAACUGGAAAAGGGCUUCCGAUACUGCUGGUCUCGAGGGAGGUAGGGGUCGAGGGAACUAAUGGUGGAGCGGUGAAAUGCGUAGAUAUCAUUAGGAACGCCGGUGGCGAAAGCGCUCGACUGGGCCUCUUCUGACGCUGAGGCGCGAAAGCCAGGGGAGCAAACGGG
This 253-nucleotide ribosomal RNA is filed under the name uncultured bacterium. Its description in RNAcentral is "partial 16S ribosomal RNA". It matches the Rfam family "Bacterial small subunit ribosomal RNA", at positions 524 to 776 of the family's 1533-position model. The record is from RNAcentral.